GGGAGGGCGACCGACCGUCUGAAGGAAGCCGGAGAGCAUACGUGCGAGCCGACGGACAGAAACCGCAUACAAGGCUUAGCCCCUGGGCGAGUUGGCACAACACAACAAAGCCCGCAGGUUCAGGGGGCAGGGUAAAUGCGGCGGUUGUGCGCGGAAAGUUCACGUC
Molecule: non-coding RNA, 166 nt
Organism: Deltaproteobacteria bacterium RBG_16_47_11
Lineage: Bacteria; Deltaproteobacteria
Source: Rfam